Molecule: transfer RNA, 73 nt
Filed under: Bos taurus (domestic cattle)
Lineage: Eukaryota; Metazoa; Chordata; Mammalia; Artiodactyla; Bovidae
Also listed under: 2 other names
Rfam family: tRNA
About the family: Transfer RNA (tRNA) molecules are approximately 80 nucleotides in length. Their secondary structure includes four short double-helical elements and three loops (D, anti-codon, and T loops).
Source: Rfam by way of RNAcentral
UCCCUGGUGGUCCAGUGGUUAAGACUCUGCACUUCCACUGCAGGGUCCGUGGGUUCGAUCCCUGGUCAGGGAA